Molecule: small nucleolar RNA, 119 nt
Organism: Kogia breviceps (pygmy sperm whale)
Lineage: Eukaryota; Metazoa; Chordata; Mammalia; Artiodactyla; Physeteridae
Product: small nucleolar RNA SNORA57
Exons: 1
Source: RefSeq, a predicted model, not a curated record
CCUCUUGGUCCCGGUAAUGUAUGGAGGUCGAGGGAAAGGGCUCUGCCCUUCCUGGCGUCAUAUCUUCGGCAUGGAAGGCUUCCAUUCCGUGGGUUCUAACCUCAAAUGCCAGGCUCCAA